UAUGUAGGGUGCGAGCGUUAAUCGGAAUUACUGGGCGUAAAGCGUGCGCAGGCGGUUUUGUAAGCCAGAUGUGAAAGCCCCGGGCUUAACCUGGGAAUGGCAUUUGGGACUGCAAGGCUGGAGUGUGGCAGAGGAGACUGGAAUUCCUGGUGUAGCAGUGAAAUGCGUAGAUAUCAGGAGGAACACCGAUGGCGAAGGCAGGUCUCUGGGCUGACACUGACGCUCAUGCACGAAAGCGUGGGGAGCAAACAGG
Molecule: ribosomal RNA, 253 nt
Filed under: uncultured bacterium
Lineage: Bacteria
Description: partial 16S ribosomal RNA
Rfam family: Bacterial small subunit ribosomal RNA
Source: RNAcentral